GGGUGUAACAAUACUGAAGAUUGUAUUCAACUCCAUAAUGAAAUCGAAGAGCUUAUUUGAAGAGGAAUGUUGGACCAUUUCAUCCACAGAAUAAAGGAAGGUCCUGCACAUCCACAAAGGGCACCUUGGCACGAAGAGCAACCCCAGCAGGAUUAGUCCAUGAAAAAUCAACCAAUGGUAGGAAUCAUCAAUACCAUCACUAGGGGGCAUGGAGGAAUGGGUCCGGAGAGUUCCACCAAA
Molecule: long non-coding RNA, 240 nt
Filed under: Elaeis guineensis (African oil palm)
Lineage: Eukaryota; Viridiplantae; Streptophyta; Magnoliopsida; Arecales; Arecaceae
Description: long non-coding RNA (EGUI_LNC046090)
Source: RNAcentral